Molecule: small nuclear RNA, 164 nt
Organism: Sorex araneus (European shrew)
Lineage: Eukaryota; Metazoa; Chordata; Mammalia; Eulipotyphla; Soricidae
Gene: U1
Rfam family: U1 spliceosomal RNA
About the family: U1 is a small nuclear RNA (snRNA) component of the spliceosome (involved in pre-mRNA splicing). Its 5' end forms complementary base pairs with the 5' splice junction, thus defining the 5' donor site of an intron. There are significant differences in sequence and secondary structure between metazoan and yeast U1 snRNAs, the latter being much longer (568 nucleotides as compared to 164 nucleotides in human).
Source: Ensembl
AUCCUUACCUGGCAGGGAUCACACCAUGAUCAUGAAGGUGGUUUUCCCAGGACAAGGGUUAUCUUUUGUACUCUGGAUGUGCUGAUCCCUACGAUUUUCCCAAAUGUGGGAAACGCCAGUGAUUAAUUUGUGGUACCUGCGGACUGUGUUUGAGUUAUCCCCUG